This 253-nucleotide ribosomal RNA is filed under the name uncultured bacterium. RNAcentral describes it as "partial 16S ribosomal RNA". It matches the Rfam family "Bacterial small subunit ribosomal RNA", at positions 524 to 776 of the family's 1533-position model. The record is from RNAcentral.
GACGAACCGAGCGAACGUUGUUCGGAAUCACUGGGCUUAAAGGGCGCGUAGGCGGGCUGUCAAGUCUGGGGUGAAAUCCCACGGCUCAACCGUGGAACUGCCUUAGAUACUGACGGCCUCGAGGGAGGUAGGGGCGAGCGGAACUGUGAGUGGAGCGGUGAAAUGCGUUGAUAUUCACAGGAACUCCGGUGGCGAAGGCGGCUCGCUGGACCUUUUCUGACGCUGAGACGCGAAAGCUAGGGGAGCAAACGGG